Molecule: ribosomal RNA, 440 nt
Filed under: uncultured bacterium
Lineage: Bacteria
Description: partial 16S ribosomal RNA
Rfam family: Bacterial small subunit ribosomal RNA
Source: RNAcentral
CCUACGGGUGGCAGCAGUGGGGAAUAUUGCACAAUGGGGGAAACCCUGAUGCAGCGACGCCGCGUGAGUGAAGAAGUAUUUCGGUAUGUAAAGCUCUAUCAGCAGGGAAGAUAAUGACGGUACCUGACUAAGAAGCCCCGGCUAACUACGGGCCAGAAGCCGCGGUAAUACGGAGGGGGCAAGCGUUAUCCGGAUUUACUGGGGGUAAAGGGGGCGGAGGUGGGGAGGCAAGUCAGAUGGGAAAGCCCGGGGGUCAACCCCGGUACUGCAUUUGAAACUGUACAGCUGGAGUGAAGGAGAGGUAAGCGGAAUUCCUAGUGUAGCGGUGAAAUGCGUAGAUAUUAGGAGGAACACCAGUGGCGAAGGCGGCUUACUGGACUUUAACUGACACUGAGGCACGAAAGCGUGGGGAGCAAACAGGAUUAGAUACCCUUGUAGUC